AAUGAGAAGCACAAUACAUUUCUGGACCAUCUUGACACGUCAUUUGUAAAGCAGUAACACAGAUCCAUGGCUUUGCGUGCAGGAUCUGUGGAAGUGAUCCAAAGCUGGGGAAAUUUGUUAGAACAGUUAUCUUCACAUGUCAACGAAGCUUCAGAGCAGAUAACGAGACAAAAUGUUUCAUCUACUGGUUGAGUUUGAUAAUGGCAAACGGAGCUGAAGAAAACAUCUUCCAGGUCAUAAUGAACACCAAAGGAAGCCCCAUACUGUGGUCUGAGCGACGGUUGGAGCCGAGGUCGGAGCAGCAGUCCAAGUGACAAUCGGAGCAGCAAUGACCUAUCGGAGUGACAAUCGGAGUAGCAGUGGCCCUUCAAAGUGAUAAUUGAAGUAGCAGUGGGCCGUCGGAGUGACAAUUGGAGUAGCAAUGGUCCUUCCAAGCACCAGUCGAAGAGCGUAGUGGCAGUACAAGUGCUAAUGCUAAAGUUUGUGGACUGAUGGUAAAGUGAAUGUGAAAGUUAUUUUUGUAUUUUUUUUUAGUUUUUAUUAUAUAUUUUAUAAAAUUUUGGCAGAUUAUAUGGAAAAAUAGGGAGGGAAAAUAAUAAACGUUGCAAUAGCUUUUUUUAUCAAAAAACGCGUUGCCGUAGGUGACUCUAUGGCAACGAUUCAUGAAAUCGUUGCGAUAGAAUGUCCUAUUGCAACGGUUAUAGAUCAA
Molecule: long non-coding RNA, 709 nt
Organism: Capsicum annuum
Lineage: Eukaryota; Viridiplantae; Streptophyta; Magnoliopsida; Solanales; Solanaceae
Exons: 3
Source: RefSeq, a predicted model, not a curated record